RNAcentral lists this ribosomal RNA (769 nucleotides) under uncultured Elizabethkingia sp. RNAcentral describes it as "bacterial SSU rRNA". It matches the Rfam family "Bacterial small subunit ribosomal RNA", at positions 44 to 813 of the family's 1533-position model. Lineage: Bacteria; Pseudomonadati; Bacteroidota; Flavobacteriia; Flavobacteriales; Weeksellaceae. The record is from RNAcentral.
AGGCCUAACACAUGCAAGCCGAGCGGUAGAGAUUCUUCGGAAUCUUGAGAGCGGCGUACGGGUGCGGAACACGUGUGCAACCUGCCUUUAUCAGGGGGAUAGCCUUUCGAAAGGAAGAUUAAUACCCCAUAAUAUAUUAACUGGCAUCAGUGAAUAUUGAAAACUACGGUGGAUGGAGAUGGGCACGCGCAAGAUUAGCUAGUUGGUGAGGUAACGGCUCACCAAGGCGACGAUCUUUAGGGGGCCUGAGAGGGUGAUCCCCCACACUGGUACUGAGACACGGACCAGACUCCUACGGGAGGCAGCAGUGAGGAAUAUUGGACAAUGGGUGGAAGCCUGAUCCAGCCAUCCCGCGUGCAGGAAGACGGCCCUAUGGGUUGUAAACUGCUUUUAUCUGGGGAUAAACCUACUUACGUGUAAGUAGCUGAGGGUACCAGAAGAAUAAGCACCGGCUAGCUCCGUGCCAGCAGCCGCGGUAAUACGGAGGGUGCAAGCGUUAUCCGGAUUUAUUGGGUUUAAAGGGUCCGUAGGCGGACUAGUAAGUCAGUGGUGAAAUCCGACAGCUUAACUGUCGAACUGCCAUUGAUACCGCUAGUCUUGAAUAAGGUUGAAGUGCCUGGAAUAGGUAGUGCGGCGGGGAAGUGGAUAGAUGAUUACUCAGAACACCCAUUGGCAGAGCCGGGUAACUGGAGGUAGAGUUACGCUCCAGGAGGAAGGCGGGGGGGACAGAAAGGAUUUGGACGCCGGGGCUCACGCCGGGAACCAGAAG